CUGUCCCCGCAGCCCCGCCCCCGCGGGGCCGCCCCCUCCCCGGGCCUCCGGGAUUUCCUCUGCGGCGGAAGCUGCGCUGCGGGGAGAGCGGGGUCGCUGCAAGGUCGGCGGCUGGGCCUCCGGUCCCGCCGCUGCUCUCGGGGGAGGCCUGGUGCCUGCUGUCUCCCGAAGCCGCUCCUGUGCCCCAGGACACUCAGGGUUCCUCCAGGUUGUCCUUCAGCCCUGGCAAGAGGGCCGCAGGCCCCGCAGGAAGCACAGGACAAGCUCUGGCGCGCACACACUGCACUCACCAGAAACUUCACAUGCAAGCUUAAUACUCUAACACCGGGAACAGAAUGAUGCGGUCCCAGGACCGGCGCGUGCCCACUGCCAUGCUCCUGCUGGAUUUCAUCACUCCUUGAAGGGUAACAACACGUGAAAAUACACGCGUAGUGAGAUGAGACAUCAUCACAGUUGUCGGCGAGCUGGGCCGGAGUGGCUCUGCAUGGAGGCCCCAGGGCCCUCUCCCCAGCCAGGGCCACACCCGAGGCACAUGGAGGUUCCCAGGCUAGG
This is a long non-coding RNA of Sus scrofa (pig), 552 nucleotides long. RefSeq lists it as uncharacterized. The record is from RefSeq and is a predicted model, not a curated record. Lineage: Eukaryota; Metazoa; Chordata; Mammalia; Artiodactyla; Suidae.